Molecule: ribosomal RNA, 509 nt
Filed under: uncultured bacterium
Lineage: Bacteria
Description: bacterial SSU rRNA
Rfam family: Bacterial small subunit ribosomal RNA
Source: RNAcentral
UAGUCCACGCCGUAAACGAUGGAUACUAGUUGUUGGAUUUUCGGAUUCAGUGACUAAGCGAAAGUGAUAAGUAUCCCACCUGGGGAGUACGGUCGCAAGAUUGAAACUCAAAGGAAUUGACGGGGGCCCGCACAAGCGGUGGAGCAUGUGGUUUAAUUCGAUGAUACGCGAGGAACCUUACCAGGGCUUAAAUGUAAGUUGCAUAGAGUAGAGAUAUUCUUUUCUUCGGACUACUUACAAGGUGCUGCAUGGUUGUCGUCAGCUCGUGCCGUGAGGUGUCAGGUUAAGUCCUAUAACGAGCGCAACCCCUACCGUUAGUUGCCAGCAUGUAAAGAUGGGGACUUUAAAGAGACUGCCGGUGACAAACCGGAGGAAGGUAAGGAUGACGUCAAGUCAGCAUGCCCCUUAUGCUCUGGGCUACACACGUGCUACAAUGGCCGUGACAAAGAGUUGCUACUUUGUGAAAACAAGCUAAUCUCAUAAACGCGGCCUCAGUUCGGAUUGCUAGG